This 29-nucleotide non-coding RNA is filed under the name Mus musculus (house mouse). The record is from RNAcentral. Lineage: Eukaryota; Metazoa; Chordata; Mammalia; Rodentia; Muridae.
UAGUCUACUCUAUGGGUUCUUAGUAUUUA